CAGUAUUGACGCCACCGUUCAUUCCGGCAGGCCCUUGUAUUGACGAAGUUGCCAACUGUAACCAAUAUGGGGUAACAAUAUGUCACGGAUCUUACAAGCCAUGGGCAUCGGCAAACUGUGCACAUUACUGUGAAUUCUGCCACGAGUCACCUGGUGCCACUUUACCCACAUUUGCACCCGUAAUUGGAAAGUAGAAAAUUCAGUAAAGUCGAAAAGAGUUG
Mytilus californianus (California mussel) is the source of this 221-nucleotide long non-coding RNA. RefSeq lists it as uncharacterized. The transcript is spliced from 3 exons. NCBI's taxonomy places the organism in Eukaryota, Metazoa, Mollusca, Bivalvia, Mytilida, Mytilidae. The record is from RefSeq and is a predicted model, not a curated record.